RNAcentral lists this unclassified non-coding RNA (386 nucleotides) under soil metagenome. Its description in RNAcentral is "partial contains 5.8S ribosomal RNA, internal transcribed spacer 2, and large subunit ribosomal RNA". The stretch from base 1 to 120 matches the Rfam family "5.8S ribosomal RNA", at positions 35 to 154 of the family's 154-position model. The record is from RNAcentral.
GAUGAAGAACGUAGCGAAAUGCGAUAAGUAAUGUGAAUUGCAGAAUUCAGUGAAUCAUCGAAUCUUUGAACGCACCUUGCGCUCCUUGGUAUUCCGAGGAGCAUGCCUGUUUGAGUGUCAUGAAAUUCUCAACCUUUUCAGCUUUCUUUGUUGAUCAGGCUUGGAUGUGGGAGUAUGCGGGCUUCUCAGAAGUCGGCUCUCCUGAAAUGCAUUAGCGGGACCUUUGUUGCCUGGCUUUGGUGUGAUAAUUAUCUACGCCAUUGUAGUCAAGCAGCUUAAAAUGAGGUUUCAGCUUCUAACCGUCUCCCCUGAGACAACUUUUUGACAAUUUGACCUCAAAUCAGGUAGGACUACCCGCUGAACUUAAGCAUAUCAAUAAGCGAGGA